RNAcentral lists this ribosomal RNA (497 nucleotides) under uncultured bacterium. RNAcentral's name for it is "partial 16S ribosomal RNA". It matches the Rfam family "Bacterial small subunit ribosomal RNA", at positions 28 to 507 of the family's 1533-position model. The record is from RNAcentral.
GAUGAACGCUGGCGGCGUGCCUAAUACAUGCAAGUAGAACGCUGAAGGAAGGAGCUUGCUCUUUCCGGAUGAGUUGCGAACGGGUGAGUAACGCGUAGGUCACCUGCCUGGUAGCGGGGGAUAACUAUUGGAAACGAUAGCUAAUACCGCAUAACCGUAGAUGUUGCAUGAUGUCUACUUAAAAGGUGCCAUUUCACCACUACCAGCUGGACCUGCGUUGUAUUAGCUAGUUGGUGAGGUAACGGCUCACCAAGGCGACGAUGCAUAGCCGACCUGAGAGGGUGAUCGGCCACACUGGGACUGAGACACGGCCCAGACGCCUACGGGAGGCAGCAGGAGGGAAUCGUCGGCAAUGGACGGAAGUCUGACCGAGCAACGCCGCGGGAGGGAAGAAGGUUUUCGGAUCGGAAAGCUCGGUUGUAAGAGAAGAACGAGUGUGAGAGUGGAAAGUUCACACUGUGACGGUAACUGACCAGAAAGGGACGGCUAACUACGUG